Molecule: ribosomal RNA, 497 nt
Filed under: uncultured bacterium
Lineage: Bacteria
Description: partial 16S ribosomal RNA
Rfam family: Bacterial small subunit ribosomal RNA
Source: RNAcentral
GAUGAACGCUGGCGGCGUGCCUAAUACAUGCAAGUCGAGCGAACAGACGAGGAGCUUGCUCCUCUGACGUUAGCGGCGGACGGGUGAGUAACACGUGGAUAACCUACCUAUAAGACUGGGAUAACUUCGGGAAACCGGAGCUAAUACCGGAUAAUAUAUUGAACCGCAUGGUUCAAUAGUGAAAGACGGUUUUGCUGUCACUUAUAGAUGGAUCCGCGCCGCAUUAGCUAGUUGGUAAGGUAACGGCUUACCAAGGCGACGAUGCGUAGCUGACCUGAGAGGGUGAUCGGCCACACUGGAACUGAGACACGUUCCAGACUCCUACGGGAGGCAGCAGUAGGGAAUCUUCCGCAAUGGGCGAAAGCCUGACGGAGCAACGCCGCGUGAGUGAUGAAGGUCUUCGGAUCGUAAAACUCUGUUAUUAGGGAAGAACAAAUGUGUAAGUAACUAUGCACGUCUUGACGGUACCUAAUCAGAAAGCCACGGCUAACUACGUG